RNAcentral lists this ribosomal RNA (429 nucleotides) under Chloroflexota bacterium. Its description in RNAcentral is "Chloroflexi bacterium partial 16S ribosomal RNA". It matches the Rfam family "Bacterial small subunit ribosomal RNA", at positions 355 to 776 of the family's 1533-position model. Lineage: Bacteria; Bacillati; Chloroflexota. The record is from RNAcentral.
UGGGGAAUAUUGCACAAUGGGCGCAAGCCUGAUGCAGCCAUGCCGCGUGUAUGAAGAAGGCCUUCGGGUUGUAAAGUACUUUCAGCGGGGAGGAAGGGAGUAAAGUUAAUACCUUUGCUCAUUGACGUUACCAGCAGAAGAAGCACCGGCUAACUCCGUGCCAGCAGCCGCGGUAAUACGGAGGGUGCAAGCGUUAAUCGGAAUUACUGGGCGUAAAGCGCACGCAGGCGGUUUGUUAAGUCAGAUGUGAAAUCCCCGGGCUCAACCUGGGAACUGCAUCUGAUACUGGCAAGCUUGAGUCUCGUAGAGGGGGGUAGAAUUCCAGGUGUAGCGGUGAAAUGCGUAGAGAUCUGGAGGAAUACCGGUGGCGAAGGCGGCCCCCUGGACAAAGACUGACGCUCAGGUGCGAAAGCGUGGGGAGCAAACAGG